GGGCGUGGUCUGUGGGACGCUGUGGCUUACUAGGACCGAGAAAAAGGACCUGACAAAUGAUGUCCUUCUAGAAAAGUGAAGUCCUCCUGGCAAUGUUCUCUUUAACCCAUGAUGGGGAUUAAGAGGAGUUUUUACUGAUUAUGAGGAAAUGUGUAUGCGCUAUUAAAGUUUUGUUUUUUUUCCUGCAUUGGACCUUCAUCUUUUAUCUAUCAAAGUAUAAGAUUACUCGUGUAUAAGGCUGGCUGCAAAAUCCUUCACAAAUGAAAAUAUACCCUAUAAGUGAACAUAA
This is a long non-coding RNA of Cebus imitator (Panamanian white-faced capuchin), 289 nucleotides long. RefSeq lists it as uncharacterized. The transcript has 3 exons. The record is from RefSeq and is a predicted model, not a curated record. Lineage: Eukaryota; Metazoa; Chordata; Mammalia; Primates; Cebidae.